Molecule: ribosomal RNA, 429 nt
Filed under: bacterium
Lineage: Bacteria
Description: partial 16S ribosomal RNA
Rfam family: Bacterial small subunit ribosomal RNA
Source: RNAcentral
UAGGGAAUCUUCGGCAAUGGGGGCAACCCUGACCGAGCAACGCCGCGUGAGUGAAGAAGGUUUUCGGAUCGUAAAGCUCUGUUGUAAGAGAAGAACGUGUGUGAGAGUGGAAAGUUCACACAGUGACGGUAACUUACCAGAAAGGGACGGCUAACUACGUGCCAGCAGCCGCGGUAAUACGUAGGUCCCGAGCGUUGUCCGGAUUUAUUGGGCGUAAAGCGAGCGCAGGCGGUUUAAUAAGUCUGAAGCUAAAGGCAGUGGCUUAACCAUUGUUCGCUUUGGAAACUGUUAAACUUGAGUGCAGAAGGGGAGAGUGGAAUUCCAUGUGUAGCGGUGAAAUGCGUAGAUAUAUGGAGGAACACCGGUGGCGAAAGCGGCUCUCUGGUCUGUAACUGACGCUGAGGCUCGAAAGCGUGGGGAGCAAACAGG